GUGUUGUACGAAAGGAGAGAAGGUUAAUACUCUCCUUAAGAAGAAUGGAAGACGUCUAGUGGCCUUCAAAACGCAUGGGCUCAAUAUGGUGGGGAACGCGUCUGCUAAUUCUCUUGU
This 117-nucleotide non-coding RNA is filed under the name Ornithorhynchus anatinus (platypus). Lineage: Eukaryota; Metazoa; Chordata; Mammalia; Monotremata; Ornithorhynchidae. The record is from RNAcentral.